Molecule: ribosomal RNA, 467 nt
Filed under: uncultured bacterium
Lineage: Bacteria
Description: partial 16S ribosomal RNA
Rfam family: Bacterial small subunit ribosomal RNA
Source: RNAcentral
GACGAACGCUGGCGGCGUGCUUAACACAUGCAAGUCGAACGGAAAGGCCCUGCUUUUGUGGGGUGCUCGAGUGGCGAACGGGUGAGUAACACGUGAGUAACCUGCCCUUGACUUUGGGAUAACUUCAGGAAACUGGGGCUAAUAGCGGAUAGGAGCUCCUGCUGCAUGGUGGGGGUUGGAAGGUUUCGGCGGUGGGGGAUGGACUCGCGGCUUAUCAGCUUGUUGGUGGGGUAGUGGCUUACCAAGGCUUUGACGGGUAGCCGGCCUGAGAGGGUGACCGGCCACACUGAGACUGAGAUACGGCCCAGACUCAUACGGGAGGCAGGCGUGGGGAGUGAUGAACAAUGGGCGGAAGCCUGAUGCAGCAACGCCGCGUGCGGGAUGACUGCAUUCGGGUUGUAAACCGCUUUCGCCUGUGACGAAGCGUGAGUGACGGUAAUGGGUAAAGAAGCACCGGCUACCUACGU